GUAGGUGGCAAGCGUUGUCCGGAUUUAUUGGGCGUAAAGCGAGCGCAGGCGGUUCCUUAAGUCUGAUGUGAAAGCCCCCGGCUCAACCGGGGAGGGUCAUUGGAAACUGGGGAACUUGAGUGCAGAAGAGGAGAGUGGAAUUCCAUGUGUAGCGGUGAAAUGCGUAGAUAUAUGGAGGAACACCAGUGGCGAAGGCGACUCUCUGGUCUGUAACUGACGCUGAGGCUCGAAAGCGUGGGUAGCAAACAGGAUUAGAUACCCUGGUAGUCCACGCCGUAAACGAUGAGUGCUAAGUGUUGGAGGGUUUCCGCCCUUCAGUGCUGCAGUUAACGCAUUAAGCACUCCGCCUGGGGAGUACGACCGCAAGGUUG
Molecule: ribosomal RNA, 371 nt
Filed under: uncultured Granulicatella sp.
Lineage: Bacteria; Bacillati; Bacillota; Bacilli; Lactobacillales; Carnobacteriaceae
Description: bacterial SSU rRNA
Rfam family: Bacterial small subunit ribosomal RNA
Source: RNAcentral